Molecule: ribosomal RNA, 643 nt
Filed under: Laccaria montana
Lineage: Eukaryota; Fungi; Basidiomycota; Agaricomycetes; Agaricales; Hydnangiaceae
Description: eukaryotic LSU rRNA
Rfam family: Eukaryotic large subunit ribosomal RNA
Source: RNAcentral
UGACCUCAAAUCAGGUAGGACUACCCGCUGAACUUAAGCAUAUCAAUAAGCGGAGGAAAAGAAACUAACAAGGAUUCCCCUAGUAACUGCGAGUGAAGCGGGAAAAGCUCAAAUUUAAAAUCUGGCAGUCUUUGGCUGUCCGAGUUGUAAUCUAGAGAAGUAUUAUCCGCGCUGGACCGUGUACAAGUCUCCUGGAAUGGAGCGUCAUAGAGGGUGAGAAUCCCGUCUUUGACACGGACUGCCAGGGCUUUGUGAUGUGCUCUCGAAGAGUCGAGUUGUUUGGGAAUGCAGCUCAAAAUGGGUGGUAAAUUCCAUCUAAAGCUAAAUAUUGGCGAGAGACCGAUAGCGAACAAGUACCGUGAGGGAAAGAUGAAAAGAACUUUGGAAAGAGAGUUAAACAGUACGUGAAAUUGCUGAAAGGGAAACGCUUGAAGUCAGUCGCGUUGGCCAGGGAUCAACCUUGCUUUUUUGCUUGGCUUACUUUCUGGUUGAUGGGUCAGCAUCAAUUUUGACUGGUGGAAAAAGUUCAAGGGAAUGUGGCAUCUUCGGAUGUGUUAUAGCCUUUGUUCACAUAUAUCAGUUGGGAUUGAGGAACUCAGCACGCCGCAAGGCCGGGUUUUUAACCACGUACGUGCUUAGGAUG